GACGAACGCUGGCGGCGUGCUUAACACAUGCAAGUCGAACGGAAAGGCCUCUUUCGGGGGGUACUCGAGUGGCGAACGGGUGAGUAACACGUGAGUAACCUGCCCUUGACUUUGGGAUAACUUCAGGAAACUGGGGCUAAUACCGGAUAGGAGCUCCUGCUGCAUGGUGGGGGUUGGAAAGUUUCGGCGGUUGGGGAUGGACUCGCGGCUUAUCAGCUUGUUGGUGGGGUAGUGGCUUACCAAGGCUUUGACGGGUAGCCGGCCUGAGAGGGUGACCGGCCACAUUGGGACUGAGGUACGGCCCAGACUCCUACGGGAGGCAGCAGUGGGGAAUAUUGCACAAUGGGUGGAAGCCUGAUGCAGCAACGCCGUGUGCGGGAGGACGGCCUUCGGGUUGUAAACCGCUUUCGCUCAUGACGAAGCUUUGUGUGACUGUAGUGGGUAAAGAAGCACCGGCUAACUACGUG
This 467-nucleotide ribosomal RNA is filed under the name uncultured bacterium. RNAcentral's name for it is "partial 16S ribosomal RNA". It matches the Rfam family "Bacterial small subunit ribosomal RNA", at positions 28 to 507 of the family's 1533-position model. The record is from RNAcentral.